UUUUAUGGAGAGUUUGAUCCUGGCUCAGGAUGAACGCUGGCGGCGUGCCUAAUACAUGCAAGUCGAGCGAACAGAUAAGGAGCUUGCUCCUUUGACGUUAGCGGCGGACGGGUGAGUAACACGUGGGUAACCUACCUAUAAGACUGGAAUAACUCCGGGAAACCGGGGCUAAUGCCGGAUAACAUGUUGAACCGCAUGGUUCUA
Molecule: ribosomal RNA, 204 nt
Filed under: Staphylococcus delphini
Lineage: Bacteria; Bacillati; Bacillota; Bacilli; Caryophanales; Staphylococcaceae
Description: partial 16S ribosomal RNA
Rfam family: Bacterial small subunit ribosomal RNA
Source: RNAcentral